RNAcentral lists this ribosomal RNA (433 nucleotides) under uncultured bacterium. Its description in RNAcentral is "partial 16S ribosomal RNA". It matches the Rfam family "Bacterial small subunit ribosomal RNA", at positions 29 to 507 of the family's 1533-position model. The record is from RNAcentral.
AGCGAACGCUGGCGGCAGGCUUAACACAUGCAAGUCGAGCGGGCCCUUCGGGGUCAGCGGCAGACGGGUGAGUAACACGUGGGAACGUACCCUUUGGUUCGGAAUAACGCUGGGAAACUAGCGCUAAUACCGGAUACGCCCUUUUGGGGAAAGGCUUGCUGCCGAAGGAUCGGCCCGCGUCUGAUUAGCUAGUUGGUGGGGUAAUGGCCUACCAAGGCGACGAUCAGUGGCUGGUCUGAGAGGAUGAUCAGCCACACUGGGACUGAGACACGGCCCAGACUCCUACGGGAGGCAGCAGCGGGGAAUAUUGGACAAUGGGCGCAAGCCUGAUCCAGCCAUGCCGCGUGAGUGAUGAAGGCCUUAGGGUUGUAAAGCUCUUUUGUCCGGGACGAUAAUGACGGUACCGGAAGAAUAAGCCCCGGCUAACUUCGUG